Molecule: ribosomal RNA, 253 nt
Filed under: uncultured bacterium
Lineage: Bacteria
Description: partial 16S ribosomal RNA
Rfam family: Bacterial small subunit ribosomal RNA
Source: RNAcentral
CACGGAGGGUGCGAGCGUUAUCCGGAAUUACUGGGUUUAAAGGGUGCGUAGGCGGCGCUGUAAGUCAGGAGUGAAAGUUUGCGGCUCAACCGUAAAAUUGCUUUUGAUACUGCGGUGCUGGAAUUAGGAUGAGGUCAGCGGAAUGUGGCAUGUAGCGGUGAAAUGCAUAGAUAUGCCAUAGAACACCAAUUGCGAAGGCAGCUGGCUAGACCUGGAUUGACGCUGAGGCACGAAAGCGUGGGGAGCGAACAGG